GUGUCGCUGAUAAGACGCUGUUAUCGUGCAUGGUGUUUGGCGCAAAUUCACAUCAAAUAUAUGUUAACGAAAAUAGGUCGAACUUUGAACGGUGGGUCAUGGAUGAUCUAGAGUCAGAACUGAGGGUGCCCGGUGAAGAACAGGGCGAAAAUGAGUCUUCAGAUGACGAUGAAUCAAUCAACAGAAAACGAAUCAACAAGCCAAACCUUCCCCUGGCGCCUCCUUUAUUUAAAGAGACACCCCGUGAGACUGGCUUUCACAAGACCACAAGGAACUGCCUCCAGCACAUUAGGGAGGUCUUGCUGCACCAUAGAUGGCAGGAUGCCGCAGAGUACAUGGCCAGUUACUCACAGACACUGGAGGAUACCACCGCAAACAUGCCACAACUCUACGCUGAGAUAAUUUGGAGGAUAGGCACAGAGAUACUACACCACCAUCCCGACUCGAAGCUGGAAGACUACAACAGUUUCUAUGAGCGAGUGAAACACUCGGGAGUAAAGCAUUACCUGAAGGUCUGUCUGGAGCACUCGUUCCAUCUCCUGGUCAAUGGGCAGUUUGAGGAUGCCAAACUUCAGCUGUCCAUCGCUGAGAGCUGGAGGUAUGGCAAGCAGUCAGCCGGUCAGUCCCAGAGGAUUAGGCUGAUCCAGGCCUAUAGUGGGUUCCUGGAUUACUUCAUCUGGUGUGACAAGAAAGCCACUGCAUCCAGCACAGAUGAGUAUGAUGCAGCUGUCAACCAAGAAAUGCAUAGCUACUUCCGACAAUCUUCUGUGAACCUGAAGGAGAUCAUGAAGCUUCCUGGCGUCUGGGAUCCUUUUGUUCUGAGUUACAUUGAUAUGCUGGAAUUCUACAACGAUCACGAGGGAGCUGUGAAGGUUCUAAAUGACUAUGCCUAUGACGACAGUUUCCCACCCAACCCCAAUGCCCAUGUCUACCUAUACCGGUACAUGAAGAAACAGAACCACCCACAGAAGAAACUUCUCAAAGUGCUGAAGAUCCUGCAUACAUUGGUCCCAAGUCAUGAGUUGAUGCCGGAAUACUGUUCUCUUCUGGUACAGUCGGAGAAUGAGGGUGAUCUUCAAAAGGCUCUAGGUGUGGUUCUGGAUCUCCUGGACUACUCCAGUUGGAGGAGCAACUUGGAUGUCUGGAACCAUUUGAUGAACAUCAUCAAGAGACUGAGGAUGAAAAAACAAUGGCUGAAGAUUUUUGCAGAGGAGAUGGAGUACAGAAAGGACUGGUGGCUAGCAAUACACUUCUCAACAUUCCAGGCCAGGAAAGAUUCGGCAGAGAAUAGAGAGCUACUGGAAGUGAAGAGCUUUGUGGUUGGAGACUUUUGUCCUCACUAUGCCUCCAUGUACUGCGGUGUUGGUAAGGCAGCCCGAAAAGGAGUAACUUCUGAGGCUCGAAAGGCUAAGAGGAAUCCUAAACCGCAAAGAAAUAUAAGAAGGCUCAGAAGAGAAAGGGGACAGCAAAGCCAAGACUGACCUUGAGGAAGCUCCUGGAAUGCCACCAGGCACAGUGGCGAGAACAAACAUUUAGAAAAUUUGUGAAGAGCUUCUACCAUUGCCAAGAUCGGCAGGCAUGACCACCUCAUAGUCAUCAGUUAGUCUUUUCCCAUCUCUGCAACUCCCGUACGGACUCCGGAGAGGCGAAGGUCGAGAGCUGUGCUUCCUCUGAAACAACCCAGCCAAGCCGCACUGCUUCUUGACACAAUGCCCGCUUAACCUGGAAUCCAGGCCCACCAAUGUUGGAGGAUACACCGUACACCUGGCGACUGUGUCAGAGUGCAUUGCGCCAGGCCCGCCACAGGAGUCGCUAGUGCGCGAUGGGACAAGAACAUCCCCUAACCUGGACGACGCUGGGCCAAUUGUGCGCCGCCCCAUGGGUCUCCCGGUCGCGGCCCGGCUGCGACAGUCUGGACUCGAACCAGGAUCUCUAGUGGCACAGCUAGCACUGUGAUGCAGUGCCUUUGACCACUGUGCCACUCAGGAGGCCUUAACUAUUCUUUUUCUAAUCUUGUAUCUCAAUGUCCAUGGGCAUAGUCUUAAAGUAGUGACAUGAGUCCAAUCAAAUGUUUUUUUCUUUGCGGUAUUAUGUUCAGGCAUUCAUCAGUCUUGUCCUAUUUUCCUUGAUGCCCAUUUCUCUCCUUAUUUUCUCUCCUUUUUCUCAAACAGUGUCCUAGUUGAACUCCUCAUGCAUACAUGCAAAUUUCACACAUCUGCCAUCAUUCUGUAUUUGCAAGGGAUCAUUGGCUCUGAAAGCAUCUGCCUCGUAACUCUAUUUGAGCUUAGGUAAAAGAGCCCGGGGCUUUUACCUAAGUUUGUGGGUUUGAGUUGGGGUCACUUCAGGCUUUCUUCCACGCCACCUCCACAUGUCCAGAGAGUGGACCCAGCUGAGGCCACAAAUUCUGGGGCUUCUUUUCUGUCUGUCCACUCUGGUGUGGUGCCACAACUAAGUGCUCGCUCACAACUUUGCAUUGACCUGGCUGCGAAUGCUCUCAUCAAUCAACCAUAAGAGACUUUGCAGUUCGCUCAGAGGAGAGUGUGUCUUGGUUGGGAGGUGCUGCAUUUCCUCUGCAUUACAAGUGGCCUAUAUCAUCUUUAACCUCCACUUGGGUCUCAGGUACCCCCAAAGCCCCCACCACACCUCACUCCUAUAUCUUGUAUUUCAUUUAGGUUACUUGAAUAAUGUACUGUUCAUUUUUAUGUCACCUUGUUUUUCCUCUUCUGUGGGACUUGUAUGCUGCCCUACACAUGCUCUAGAGUCUACUCAGUCAUUCUCAUGGGCUCUUGCACUGUGCCUUUGUCUAACAUCUCAGGGGCUUGCCCCACAUUGGGCCCCAUGCCAAUUUUAAUAAGCUUAAGUGCUUGUAAUGAUUCUGUUGUAGCAGCUCACCUUAACGAUGGCCAUGCAUGCAGUCAGUGUGUGCUUCCCAAAUGGCACUCUAUUCCCAAUGUAGUACACUACUUUUGGGAGUGCACUAUAGGGAAUAGGGUGCCAUUUGGGAUGCUUUUCAGUUGACCAGGGGAUGUGGCUCUAUGAUUCUAUCUGCUCUGCAGUCAUUACAUAACUAGAGCCCAGAGCACUAGGGAAGGCUAGUUAGCCAAACCACAGAGCAGCUGCUCUGGGGAGUGAAGGCAGAGAGGGGGGGCGUCAUCUGAGAAUUCAACCUCACAGGGAGCAAUUAAGGGAAGAUAGAAAGAACUGUUGUAAUGAUUGUUGAUGGUUGCCAUGGACACUGGACACUAAUAAUUUUUGGCUUAAUUUGUAUACAUUUGCAUUUUUUCUGCAGAUGAAUAUUCUGUGUAUCUUAAUUAUAUCCUAAAAAUUUACAUCAGUUUAAAUGCGAAUGAAGCCUCUGGUCAUGGCUCCUUAUGGAGGGGUCAGGCAGCAACAGUGAAGUCAGACAAUUUUGUUGCACGCUGCCAUGGCUUGGGACGGUUGAUUGAUAUUGAUGAAAGCUAGGAGAAUUGUGCUACAUGUAUCAAUAACUAUACUGACCUCAGGCCUAGAGUGAUGGUCUAUAGUGCUUGUAAAAAUCUACCUUCAGGCCUCCCGAGUGGCUCAGCAGUCUAAGGCACUACUUUGCAGUGCUACAGGCGCCCCCACCCGCUGUGAAUGGGAGACCCAUGAGGCUGCGCACAAUUGGCCCAGAGUCGUCCUUGUUAGGGGAUGGUUUGGCCGGCGGGAUGUCCUUGUCCCAUCGCGCUCUAGCGACUCCUUGUGACGGCCCGGGGGCAUCCAUGCUGACUUCGGGUGCCAACUGUACAGUGUUUCCUCCGACACAUUGGUGCGGCAGGUUUCCGGGAUUAAACGUGCUGUGUGUCAAGAAGCAGUGCGGUUUGGCGGGGUUGUGUUUCGGAGGGUGCAUGGCUUUUGACCUUCACCUCUCUAGAAUCCGUAUGGGAGUUCCCGCGAUGGGACAAGACUGUAACUACCGAUUUGAAUAUCACGAAAAAGGGGGUAAAAAGUACUGAAAAAAAUCAUCUACAGUUGAAGUUGGGAGUUUACAUACUUGUAUUGUAGUCAGUAAAACUACAAUACCACUCCACAAAUGUUUCAACCACUCCACAAAUUUCUUGUUAACAAACUAUAGUUUUGGCAAGUCUGUUAGGACAUCUACUUGCAUGACUCAAGUAAUUUUUUGUUUACAGGCAGGUUAUUUCACUUAUAAAUCACUGUAUCACAAUUCCAGUGGGUCAGAAGUUUACAUACACUAAGUUGACUGUGCAUUUUAAACAGCUUGGAAAAUUCCAGAAAAUGACAUUGCU
This is an RNA transcript of Oncorhynchus gorbuscha (pink salmon), 4268 nucleotides long. It is a transcript of the gene named TATA box binding protein (TBP)-associated factor, RNA polymerase I, A, with no coding region annotated. The record is from RefSeq and is a predicted model, not a curated record. The transcript is spliced from 11 exons. NCBI's taxonomy places the organism in Eukaryota, Metazoa, Chordata, Actinopteri, Salmoniformes, Salmonidae.